Molecule: ribosomal RNA, 254 nt
Filed under: uncultured bacterium
Lineage: Bacteria
Description: partial 16S ribosomal RNA
Rfam family: Bacterial small subunit ribosomal RNA
Source: RNAcentral
CACGUAGGGACCAAGCGUUGUCCGGAUUUAUUGGGCGUAAAGAGCUCGUAGGCGGUUCGGUAAGUCGGGUGUGAAAACUCUGGGCUCAACCCGGAGAGGCCACCAGAUACUGCCGUGACUUGAGUCCGGUAGGGGAGCACGGAAUUCCUGGUGUAGCGGUGAAAUGCGCAGAUAUCAGGAGGAACUCCGGUGGCGAAGGCGGUGCUCUGGGCCGGUACUGACGCUGCGGAGCGAAAGCGUGGGUAGCAAACAGG